UCCCCCAACCAGGGAAGUCUCAGCUCCCCAUCUAUCAGUGGCUCUCUUCCUCUUUGUAAUUCCAGACCUCAGUCUAGCCUGGGACUUCUUCCCACCAAAGCCGCCAGUGACACCGAGUGCAGUGCCAUGCUCAUGCAAGAUCUUCAUUACUGGUUGUGGAUCCUCCGCAGAUUUUUCUCCUGUGCCGACAGCUUCCUUGGAUCGGGAUAGACAGACAGCUCAUCACUGGCCGUUUCUACCGACCGGCUCCGAGUGUGUCCCAGCUGUUUCUCAAGCUCUCGAACCUGAGGGUGGUUCCACAACAGGUGAGGAGACUGCGACCCAGAGAGAUGAAGAGAUUUGCCCAAAGACACCAAACUUAGAGACCAGUGGCUGAGGCCAGACUCAGACUCAGGUCUCUUGAACCACAAGGCCACACAGUGGUCGUUAACCACAGUUUUUCAGAGACCUCUCCCCCUUCAUGUUGGCUUCAGGGAUCCCACAGGAGACCCUGAGGGGAAAAGCCACCUGGGAACCUGGGAAUGAAGGCAAUGCACUUGGCAAAUAGUGGAAACGACACACUUAUUUGUGUGACUCUUGGUUUCUUGGUACAGCUAACCUUCGGACGGUGUUUCCUCCAUGCCAGGCCCUGUGGUAAGCAAUUUACACGUCUGUACUCAUUCAGUCCUCCCAGCAACGCUGUGGGGUAGGCACUGUCAUUAUCCACAGUACACAGAGGAGGAAACUGAGGCACAGAGAGGCGAAGCAACUUGCCCAAGGCCACACAGCUGGUGGGUGGUGGGCUGAGAUUUGAAGCCAAGCAGUCCGGCUGCGGAGCCCCUGUUCCUAGCCUCUAGAGAUGCUCCAAAAUAUUUAAAGCGUAAAGAGGGAGACAGGCUAAGUUUUUUUUUGGGGGGGGUGGUAAUUAAAACCUUCAAAAGCCUACAGGCAUCUGG
Molecule: non-coding RNA, 935 nt
Organism: Delphinapterus leucas (beluga whale)
Lineage: Eukaryota; Metazoa; Chordata; Mammalia; Artiodactyla; Monodontidae
Source: RefSeq, a predicted model, not a curated record